This is a non-coding RNA of Sus scrofa (pig), 1537 nucleotides long. The record is from the annotation of a RefSeq genome assembly. Lineage: Eukaryota; Metazoa; Chordata; Mammalia; Artiodactyla; Suidae.
GAAGAAACACAGAGAACCACCCCAUGCUAUUCACUGCUUCUCCUGAGACACCAGAGCCAGCCUAGUUCUCUUGCCAUUGGCCUGAGACCUCCUAUCAACAGAGCCCUCACUUUCUUACCUCCUCGCUGGGAUCCAGUCUGGUGAUAUGAUGGCACUUCUGGAAGCAGUCGUCUUCUCCUUUUUCUGGGCUGUUGGCCUUGGGAUGUUAAGGUUGGAGCAACCUGAAAUAUCAAUUACUGCAGCAAGACAGAAGAGUGCCCUCAUAGCUUGUAAGGUGUCCUCUGAAAAUUUUAACGACGCAUACAUUCACUGGUACCGGCAUAAAUCAGAUCAGGGUAUGGAACAUCUCAUGUACCAUGUAACAGUCUUUACUCUAAGCCACUUAGGAGAGAAGAAAAACAAACUUGAGGCAAGAAAAAUUGCUUCCACUUCCACUGCCACCUUGAAAAUAAAUUUCUUGGAGCAAGAAGAUGAGGCCACAUAUUACUGUGCAAGCUGGUUUUAUAGCUCACGCUGGAUCAAGAUAUUUGGAGAGGGGACUAAGCUCAUAGUAACUCCCCCUGAUAGAAACCUUGCUGCAGACAUGUCCCCUAAGCCCACUAUAUUUCUUCCUUCGAUUGCUGAAAUAAACCUCCAUAACACUGGGACACAUCUUUGUCUUCUUGAGAAAUUUUUCCCUGAUGCUAUUAAGGUAUAUUGGAAAGAAAAGAAUGGCAAUACGGUUCUGGAUUCCCAGCAGGGAGAUGUCAUCCAGACUAACGACACGUACAUGAAAUUCAGCUGGCUGACGGUGACUCAAAAGUCAGCAGACAAAGAACACAUAUGUAUCGUCAAACAUGAGAAUAACAAAAGAGGAACUGAUCAAGAGAUUCUUUUUCCUUCAAUGAACAAAGAGGUCACUACAGAUGUUUGCCUGAAAGAUACAAGUGGUACAAUGCAACUGCAGCUCACAAACACCUCUGCCUAUUACACCUACCUCCUUCUACUCCUCAAGAGCGCCCUCUACUUCGCCAUCAUCACCUACUGUCUGUUUCGAGAAACAACAGUCUGUAGCGCCUGGAAGAGGUCCUGACAGAUGAUGCACCAAGGGCUCAACUUUCCUUCAUCAUCAUCUCUACAAGUGUCUGUUGAGGAUCUAGCAGCACUUCCUUUCUGGGUUUGGCUUCUUUCAGAGAAUGUGUACAUCUUUCUGUUAGGUCAUCAUUGUGUAAGGAUUUUUCAAACCACUGGGCAAACAGACCCUUGCACUGCAUAACAAGGAAUUCUGCCAUGACUCGGGCAGGGCUGAGGGCUGGUCCCAGGAGCCUUUCCCACCACUGUCCCUCAGUGUCAGCAGCUCCUCCGGCUGCCUGAGUCCUCUUGCCUUGUGAGCACACACAGCACAGCGCACAGCUCCCCGUCUCCUCCCUCAGGGCUCCACCCAGACCACAGCCCUGACCUUCCCUGUACACAUCUGGAGCCCCCAGCUUAGCUGCUUGAAUUCUGUUCUCUGGUUUUCAUAAUAGGCAUAAUCAAUUAAAAAGAUAUUCAAACUUCA